UAGAGUUUGAUUCAUGGCUCAGAUUGAACGCUGGCGGCAGGCCUAACACAUGCAAGUCGAGCGGAUGAGAGGAGCUUGCUCCUGGAUUCAGCGGCGGACGGGUGAGUAAUGCCUAGGAAUCUGCCUGGUAGUGGGGGACAACGUUUCGAAAGGAACGCUAAUACCGCAUACGUCCUACGGGAGAAAGCAGGGGACCUUCGGGCCUUGCGCUAUCAGAUGAGCCUAGGUCGGAUUAGCUAGUUGGUGAGGUAAUGGCUCACCAAGGCGACGAUCCGUAACUGGUCUGAGAGGAUGAUCAGUCACACUGGAACUGAGACACGGUCCAGACUCCUACGGGAGGCAGCAGUGGGGAAUAUUGGACAAUGGGCGAAAGCCUGAUCCAGCCAUGCCGCGUGUGUGAAGAAGGUCUUCGGAUUGUAAAGCACUUUAAGUUGGGAGGAAGGGCAGUAAAUUAAUACUUUGCUGUUUUGACGUUACCGACAGAAUAAGCACCGG
This 495-nucleotide ribosomal RNA is filed under the name Pseudomonas sp. 01WB04.3-76. RNAcentral describes it as "bacterial SSU rRNA". It matches the Rfam family "Bacterial small subunit ribosomal RNA", at positions 1 to 496 of the family's 1533-position model. The record is from RNAcentral. Lineage: Bacteria; Pseudomonadati; Pseudomonadota; Gammaproteobacteria; Pseudomonadales; Pseudomonadaceae.